AUCUGGCUCAGGAUGAACGCUAGCGACAGGCUUAACACAUGCAAGUCGAGGGCAUCACGGGAGUAGCAAUACAACUGGUGGCGACCGGCGCACGGGUGAGUAACGCGUAUGCAACCUACCUAUCAGAGGGGAAUAACCCGGCGAAAGUCGGACUAAUACCGCAUAAAACAGGGGCACCGCAUGGUGAUAUUUGUUAAAGAAAUUCGCUGAUAGAUGGGCAUGCGUUCCAUUAGGUAGUUGGUGAGGUAACGGCUCACCAAGCCGACGAUGGAUAGGGGAACUGAGAGGUUGGUCCCCCACACUGGUACUGAGACACGGACCAGACUCCUACGGGAGGCAGCAGUGAGGAAUAUUGGUCAAUGGGCGGGAGCCUGAACCAGCCAAGUCGCGUGAAGGAAGAAGGAUCUAUGGCUCGUAAACUUCUUUUGCAGGGGAAUAAAGUGCAGGACGUGUCCUGUUUUGUAUGUACCCUGAGAAUAAGGAUCGGCUAACUCCGUGCCAGCCGCCGC
RNAcentral lists this ribosomal RNA (509 nucleotides) under uncultured bacterium. Its description in RNAcentral is "bacterial SSU rRNA". It matches the Rfam family "Bacterial small subunit ribosomal RNA", at positions 17 to 518 of the family's 1533-position model. The record is from RNAcentral.